CGCCAAAGUUUCUUGUCCCUAGAAUGACAUGAAUUUCCUGAGACUACCUAAUCAUAUUGUUUGAGUUGUGAGACUCUGGCUUAGAAACAAAUAGCGUACCUUGCUCUGACAUGACCAAGUGUCCUACAGUCGGGCUCACCUCAAAGGACAAGGGCAGUGUCACCAGGGAGAAAUGCCGGCUCUGAACUCAGCUCAUCUAAUCAGAGGCCAGCCUUAACUAGCCCCCGGGGCUCUUCCAUACAUCUGUAGUUGCUAAGACUACAUUAAUUAAUGGUAUUAAUACCAUUACUGAUGGUCUAUAGACAUACUUUGGUGCGAUGUCUCCUCAACAGACACAUACACAGAGAGACGGGGGAGGGGGAGAAGGGGAGCGAGAACCUUGUUGUUUGGGGAUGUCUGCUUGUUUUUAAAUGGCUUCUCUAUUUUGAUAACAAAGUAUCUGUUUCUUUUUGGUACUUACAGACUCACUGCCUCUCCCUCUCCCUCUCCCUCUCCACCCUACCCAUUUCCCAAUGAUCUGCCUGCCCUGGCACUGGCCAUGUCACCUUUCCUAUGCCAGCCACUCUGCUUUGCCUCCUGUUCCCACUCUUGACGUUUCCGUUGUGGACAGCUGAGCCCCCGUUGCCUAGAUAUCAAUGCAGGCAGAAGAAAACCUGCUUUCUGAUUGUUCCCUUGACCCCAGGUACAAAACGGAAAAGCAGCUAGAGGGACUGCAAGUCUUGUGUUCAAAGAGCGAUUGAGCUCAUCAACAGCCAAACUCUUAGUCACCCCAUGUCCCCAUCUAUUCCUCUCCUGUGAAAUUCCCACAGCUAGAAGUAAAGUUUCUCCACCCUGUGAUUGUACAACCUGAAAUUCCAGGUUGGAGUUACUGGGGUCUCUCUCCCUGUUCCUUGGGCCCCCAGGCAAUCCAUCAGUGAGAAGGCUCCUCCGGGAAUCACUCUCUUGUCCUGUCUACUCCACUCACCUGCUCCAUUAUUCUAGGCUGCCAUUUCCCAGACAGGUUUCCCUGCUACUAGCUUUAGCCCACACAGAGGUCAGAUGUUCAAAAUCAUUUUCUGGAGUAUAACUAUAAACCUCCCCAUUCAGACCAUCAAUUGGCCUUGAGAGAACAUCGAAGCAGGAUAUUGUGGCCAUUGACCUUUGCCUCCAUCUCAGCCUCUCAUCCUCUCUCCACCCUUCUAGGACAUGGACUCACUUCCUCUGUAUACAUCCCUGCUGCCUCUUCUGGAUGACUAUCUGGAGCUCUGUGCUCCCACAGGAGCAGCAUGAUGACCUUUCUCUACUCAAGCCUAAACUCAAGGUUCUGUUUGCAGUGAGGUCAACCCCUGACACACUGUCUGAGGCCAGUUCUUAUGCUAGCCCAAUGCUCUCAUACUUCUGUCCAGGCUUGUCACUCUAGAAAGCACCUUGCUGUCUUAGUGCCUUUCCUACUGCUAUGAUAAGACACCAUGACCAAGGCAACUUAUACAAGAGUUUCUUUGGGGAUCAUGGUUUCAGAGAGUUAUAGUUCAUGACCAUCGGCAUAGCAGCAUGACAGCAGGCAGGCAGGCAUGGUGCUGGAGCAGUAGCCGAGAGCUUACAUCUGAGAUGCAACCAUGAGGUAGACAGAGCUAACUGGGAAUGGCACCAGCUUUUGAAACCUCAAAGCCUACCCCAAGUAACACAUUUCCUCCAAUAAAUCCACACCUCUGAACCUUCCAAGCAGUUCCACCAGGGGGGAAUCAAGUAUUUAAACAUAUGAGCCUAUGGAGACCGUUCUCAUUUAAACCAAACACUUACUGUGGUUUUGUUUUGUUUUCUGUUCCUGAGUGCAUCACCAUUGGACUAUAAACUCUAGAGAGUAAUUACUUUAAACUAUUGAUUCAUUCUUUUCUUAAACUGUUACAUGAGACCUGACAAACGCUAGCCUUAUUUCUGUGUUCACACAUCUCCAAGUUAAUCACUCCUUGUGAUAAAGAGAAUGUCACAACUAGCUGUGUAGGUUGGGAAUGCCAGAUCAAUGGACCCAUACUUGAACCAUGCUUGGAGCAAACGUAACUCGCUCUGUAUGCCUGACACAAGUUGCUGUGAGGAAGACUGUACCCAGCACUGUGGUAGAAUAUUGUUUUAAGGUGUGUUACUUUUUUUAUGCUCUGGGACAUUUGUUUAAUGAUGCAAAGAUGUGGUACAUUUGAUUGAUUAAAUAAAAUUAACCUGCGGUCAGGAGACUGCGUCAGCAACUAGCUGACAGAAAGUGGUAGGGAGGAACCAGGUGGAGAAGGGCUUUUAAGUGGGGGCUGGGAGAAGGAUGGGGGCUUUUUGGAGGGCGUGAGCAAAGGGAGGAGUUGAGCUACUUGCUGUUCAACCUCUCUGAGGAGCAGAAUUCCACCUCAACCUUUGAAUCUUGAUUUCUUUAGAGGGACAGAGAUUUAGAUAAGUUCCCUUCAUAGUUUUGAAAGGGUCAGUACCUGAGGGAACAGAAUCUCCUCAGGCUGCGGGCAUUGCAGCCGAAUGGCUGCUGGUAGCCUGGGAGUUGCAGUUGCUGAUUAGGACAGCCAUGGCUUAAAAGGCAGCAACAGUUUUAAAGAAAGACAACAUAGCCCUGCACAGUAGCCGGAUGCACUCACCUCCUACUGAGCACAAGGCCACAGAGUCUUGUGAAAAAGAGGGAAUGGGGUUGAAUCAACAAAUCUCUGACCCCCCCAAAGAGGGAAGCAUUUUCUUCUUGGUUUCACCUUUCAGUGAAGUGUGUUUCAGCCAUGACUAGACUAAUGUCCUGAUCUGGCAGAUUGGUCUGUUCAGCAUGGAGGCAGAGAGCACACAGGAAGUCUACACUCCUAACCUGGAGAACUUAAUCCAAGACUGUAGCAUGGGUUGUCUGAACACCGAAGCAUGACAAAACAGAAAGACCGGCUGCUUCAAAAUGCAUAGACUUUGCCGCUUUGCGCAGUGUUUUCCUCUCAUCUUCCCAAAUCCCGUCUUUGCUUCUCUCUAUCUGUCUUGCCACGGCAUUCUUUCCCCCUCGCUUAUCCUCAUUACUAUCUAUGAUUCUGAGGACAUUUAAAAUACUGGUCUCCCUGUCCUAGACAAAAAUCUCUUUCCUGAGCUUCAGACAUUUAUGUCCAUGUGCCACUCAGAUAUUAAAACUAAUAGCUUUAUUGAGGCAAAACAAGCAUAUGAUGAGUUUCACAUAUUCGAAGAGUAAAAUGUGUUACAUGUGACAGAUACAUACAGCUGAAAAGCUGUCGCCAGAAUCAAGGGACGUACUUCCCGGCAGAGGGUCCCCUGUGCUGUCCUUCUCAUCCUUCAUAUUCCCAGGAGAACUGAUCUGCUUCGACUGUACGAGAUUUGUCAUGUGCUGGAGUUCACCUAAAGGGAGCCAUUCGGUAUCUGUUCUCCAAUGCCUGGCUUCUUUCGCUUAGCAUCACUCUGGGACCCAACUGAAGUUGUCAGGCCUGGUGGCAAGAGCUUCUACCUGCCCAGCCAUCUCAUGAGCUCACAGAGAGACUUUUAAUGCCCAAUCUCCACGGCUUAUAUUUAGUUGAGCACCCCACUCCGCACCUCACAAGGUAAUUGGCCUCACUCAUAUCUCUUUUGCCUUUCAGUCUUGUGCUCUAUGUUUUAUGGAGACCUUGCAAAGCCAUCUGACGUUUCUAAGGAGAGGGGACUCUGAUUUUAGGAUGUGGACCUUCUCUGUGUGACUGGUGCCUGAAUUCUGAAUGAACUGAAAACCAGCUGUUCUCAGGGCCAAUAAAUCACGAAAGCUGUCUGGGCCUGUCUGCUAGAAGAUCUAGCCUGUGACCACUCUUGCAAGUCGGAAGAGGAGGGUGGAGCCGGUGGUUGAGAUGAAAGGCAGGAUUUCCUGUGGAAACUCAGCUUGGGUCUGUGCAGUUAGUGAUCCAGCUUUUCCUCCUCAUAUGCUAAGUGUGAGCCUGGGUCUGUAACCCGCUGGCUAUCCACUUACCUCAUUACAACACCAGGCAGGCACUGCCUUCACCUGAGCAAGAGCCAAAGCGCUGCUUCUGUCCUGCUUGUGGUAACAUUGGAGAGGCAAGGAGGAAAUGAUUUCAUUUCCAACUUCAAAAGGGGGAUUCCCAAGUCCUGGUGCAGGGACAGUCCUUAAGAUUUGAGAGGUCUUAACUCUGAUGCAUGCGCACUUACUCCCUUCUCCGUUGUUAGGGUACCUGGAUGUGGGCAGACUGGAGAUGGUGGUAAACUUGUCGGCAGGCUUGCCGUGAAUAUGGGCUGGCUGGUGAGUGAACCACUCGGUGUGGAAGUGGUCUCUGCCAUGUUUGGGUCUGGCCUUCAGCAGAACUGGCUGUGUCAUGUAAGAAGUCCAAUACUCCCCAGCUAAGAGUGCAGGGAAGGGAAGUGGGCAUUGCUGAGACCAGCCUUCUGGCCAUCUCUGCUACUGUGGUUUAAAAGUGAAGUGUCAUAUGUUUUAACACUAGUCUCCAGGUAGUGAUGCUAAUUUGGAAGAUCGUGGAGCCUUUUGAGCAUGGGACUUACCUGGCAGAAAUAGUGCCUACGUGGCAGAACUUCCGUGUUGGGGGCACUUCCCCUCUGGUUCAAGCUGUUUCCUGAUUCACUGAGACAGUGGUUCUCAACCUCCCUAAUGCUGUAACCCUUUAAUACAGUUCCUCGUAUGGUGACCCCCAACUAUGACAUUAUUUUCAUUGCCACUUCAUAACUGUAACUUUGCUACUGUUAUGAACCAUAAUAUAAAUAUCUGUGUUUUCCAAUGGUCUUAGAUGACCUCUGUGAAAGGGUCAUUCGACCCCCAAAGGGGUUGCGACCCACAGGGUUGAGAACCACUACACUAACAUGUGAGCAAGCCACAUCCCACUCCCAUCAUUGUGGGCAUGUCUCUCCCGCUGCCCUGAGCAGCACCAUGCUUUCCCAUCAUGACCCUGAGAGCCCAGAUAAGUGCCUCCUUCAUUAAGCUGCUGCUACUGGAUACUUUGUCAUGGGGAAAUGAAUGAAUCUGCCAGGGCCCCAAUUUUCUGUCACCUUCCGUCCAGCCCAGUCACCAGCUGAGUUACCACCAAGAGACCCCAUUCAAUCCACAGCCAGCUAUUGACCCAUAGAAAAGAAACCCAAUUCUUGACCUAUAGAUAAUGGUUGUUUCUGUUUGCCAAGUUUUAGGAUGUUUCUUAUAGAGGAGUCACCCCGGAACCCUGAAGAAGGACAAUUCCUAUAGGAGCCUCUGUAUCUUACACUGCUUUUCAAAACCUCAGCCUAUUCUUUUUUUAUUUUUUCUAUAAACUUUAUUAUUAAAAAAAAACUUGCAAAUAAAUAAAAACUAAAGCCAUAAUAACAACAAUAAGUAAUACAUUAAAGAUAAAUAAAGCUAAUUUUUUUUUAGUUUUAGCUCUGUCAUGGGCCUUCUUGUUUGGGGUGGUGAAUAAGUCCAUAAAAUAUAUUGGAUGCUGAAAGCGUAAAAAUUUAAUGUGAACUUUCACAGCGUCUGUUCUGAAUGCCAAUUCUAAUGUAUAGAAGUUCACUACAAUGUAUAGACUUUGUGUCUGGUUAAUUUGGGGGAGUGAUUUGUUUUUUUACUUGUCAGUCCUGUUCUUUAUCAGGACACUUCAGUUGGCAUGUCCCUCAGAUUCAGACAUCAGGACCCUGGACCUGUGCUUCCCGUGGGAGCCGCUGGGCUGGCAGAGGAGUUUCAAGCUUCGCUCCAGCAGUCAGAACUAUUUCAUAUGCAGCUGUCAACUCAAGAUAAUAGACCUGUCCUCUGCCCAUCCAGGGUACACUGUUACACAAACUUUUCUGGUUGUCAUGACUGUGAUUUUUUUUUUUAAUUUGUAUUUUUAUUUUGCAGAUGACUGCGAUUUUAAAGUUAAAACUGGGUAGGGAGAUGAGGAUUCUGCUGGAGAAAACAAGUAAAUCUUUAUGAAAUUGUUCUUCCCAGACUUAGAAAGGAAGAGGAGCCCAAGGGCAGUAAGAAUUCAAGUAACGAUGCCACACUUUACCCACUUUAAUCCUUCCCUGCUUUUUCUCUCAAUCAUUCUUCUUCUCUUCCCCAGGGCUCAUGUCCUCAACACCAUGCUGCCUUUCAGGAUACAGAUUCACAGUUCCCAAUUAUUAAUCUCCCUUCGGGCCAUUUUCUCCUUGUUUUCUCUUUCUUUUGCCCAGCUAAAAUUAGCAUCGCUAGGUGGGACCUGUAGUUAGACCCAGCACACAGCUCCAACUCUGAGUGGGAUGCCAAGAACACCUUUUCAGCCUGGAUCCCAGGGUGUGCAUGGAUGUUCUGUGCUGAGGGCAUCAAUAUGGUGCUCAGCCAUGCGUGGUUGUUUCUAUUCUAAGGGAUGCAUUUGGCUGUUUAUUAAGCAGCAAGAAACAGCAUAAUCUUUACCUGCUGACAAAAUGAAUGUGGGUAAGAUGCUCCUAAAUGCUUGGCAUUGAUGUUUGUGAGCAGUAAUCAGCUAAGUUUCGGUGUGGGUUAUGCAGGUGCUUGCUAGAGAAGCUGACAUCCCCAAAUGGCAUUUUUAUUUGAUCCAGGCCCCCAAAGAACUUUACUUAGCUUGGCAAAAGCAAGAUGCAUUUACAAACGUGAUGUGUCAAAGUUACCUCAUCGCAUCUAUUAGGAGGUCUUAUCUUUUCUGGUUCCUUCAUUUCAAGUUGCAGGAUAUUUGCUAAAAGCUCAAGAAGAAAUCGAGUUAGACCAAGGAAGAAUUGAAUGGGUUAGUCGGGAUGUGUUUCAAGUUAUAGGAAAAUUAGGAUGACUAUAUAAUUGAUUCUCAUAAAUGGGAUAGUGAGUGGGAAAUGAGGCACUUCCAAUAAUUAUAUCAAGAUGACAGAUGUUAACCUGGAGAGUCCUAGGAACAGGGGUGUUCAAAAACCUCCCAGGUCAAGGAGCUGGGGGACAGCUGUCAGCAAUGUGCUUCCCCGUGCAAGUGUGAUGGCCUGAGCUUGAACCCACCCCAGAGCCCCAGGGAAAUGUAGUUGCAAUGGUGCCUGCUUCCAUUCCUGGUGCUUUGGAGGCAGAGGUAGGAGGAUGCCAGAGGGUUGCUGGACAGCCAGCCUAGCCUAACUGGUGAGUACAAGAGUAUAUGCCAAGGUGAGUAUGAGUGCAUGCCUUGGCAUAUAUGCCCCUGUACGUGUGUGUGUGUGUGUGUGUGUGUGUGCGCGCGCACGCACACACACACACACACACACACACACACACACACACACACACACACACACACACAAAUGAAUGGAUAAACGAUGUAAUUUUAAGAAGGGGAAGGGUUGAAUAUGGAAUGGGUGACCAGCAAAAUGUCCACUCUAUAGAAACAAACUUACAUUCAAUCAAGUGGCUCCUUAAUGCUUUGACUGUAAAUUGCAGCCUCUGGUGUCAGUUCCCAGAGUAAAACCAGAUUUCAUUCUCAUGUGACCUUCGGCAAGGUCUUUAAACCAGACCUUAUUUGUCCAAUUCAGAAACAGGGAAAUCACGGUAACUGCCUUGUACAGCUGUAGUGGGAUUAAACAAAAUACUGCCAUACAGUGGGAUUAUAGCAGUGUCUGCUGAGUAAGGAGUGCUUAAUGAAGGGCAGCGUCAUUGAAAUGGUCAUUGGACGACUGUUUCAAAGGUAUGUGACAUCAUAUGUAGUGGAGGGGUAGGGUUCCUGGUGUAACCCCUAUUCCCCGAGGCACACAAUAGGACAGAGCUUCUCUUUCGCAAGGGAGGUCAACCAAAUUCUAAUCUUGCCUCCAGUCUGCCUCUGAACUGGCCACAAAGAAAUUCUGUCACCUACCCUUGACAGAUAGAUCUUGUGACACUGGGCAGAUCUUGUGACCCUAGGAUUCCAGAAACUUUCUGUCCAUACCCUGAGGGAAGGAAUGCCGCUCAGAGAAGAUAAGAAGACAGCUGGAGGCAAACAGGCUUUGCCCACUUUCCCAAGUCUCCUCGUCAGCAGCUGGUAUGCGAUAAAACCUCCAUAAAAUGCAGAAGGACAGGCUUUUCCAGCUCCGAGACAACUACUGAGUGUGUGGCUUUUACAGAAAGUCAGAUGAGACUCCUCCACCACAGGGAGCUGGAGUUCCCUGAGGACAUGGCUAUAGUGCCUGUGCUCCGAACCCUAUACUUCACCCCGGCUGCCUCAUCAUCUGCCAGUUUCAUUGAUACUCUUUACGGAAAGUUAAGAACCAGAAGCACAGUGUUUCCUUGAGUUCUGUGGGCCACUCCUGCAAAUUCAUCAAACUUGGGGCUACGGGUCCUUAAUCUGUAGCUGAUUGGCCAGCAGUUCCAGAGACCCAGACUUAUGCCUAGGCCUGCGGUGUGGGCAGUUAGGGUCCUCAACCCCUCAGUCCAGACAGAAUGCAGCAGAGGGACACCCCAGUUCUGCUGAUGCAGAGUUGCUUGCUUUCUGGAAGGGAGGGAUCCUCACACCUUUUGAGGCCACGGAUGACUUUUGUGUUGAUUGCGGUGUGUGAGUAAAAGAAAAAGGUCGUGGGUUUUUUUUUCCAGACAGAGAUGCUAUCAGCAGUACAGAAAUUCAUUUACUUGGUUGAGGGGAAAUAAGAGAGGCAGAGGUAAGCUGAACGGGGAUCCUGGUGAGAACCGAAGAGCAAUUCAAAGGAUAAGACCAACCCGCAGGCAAAGUCAGGGGUCCUGGGAGUUCGGAUGUUUGCUGUUAAAGGUUGUAUAAUUACAUCAUUUCUCCCUCCCCUUUCCUCCUUCCAAACCCUCCCAUACACCCCUGCCUACUCCCCUUCAAAUUCAUGACCCCAUUUUUCACUAAUUGUUACUGCAUGGAUACAUGUACAUGUAUAUACGGACAUAUUCCUAAAUAGAACCCAUUCAGUCCCUAUAAUAUUACAUGUAUGUAUGUUUUCAGGGCUGACCAUUGGGCAUUGUUGGUUUUUUGUUUGUUUGUUUGUUUGGUUUUCAAGACAGGGUUUCUCUGUGUAGUUUUGGUGCCUGCCCUGGAUCUUGAUCUGUAGACCAGGCUGGCCUCGAACUCACAGAGUUCUGCCUGGCUCUGCCUCCCCCGAGUGCUGGGCCAUUUGGCAUUCUUAAACUCACCACAGGGUAACUUAAAGGAGUUUCCCAGUGUUUUGUGGUCAAGAGAUUCUCUCAGAUUCUUGAUAAAUCCCCAGUUUAUCACAUCUGCCCAUUGUAUGUCUUCACAUGGAUAAAAGCAUGGGGGAAGGAUUUAGAGGCAGGAGCUGAGAUGGCGUUUUAGAGAUGCCACAGCAGAAAGGCGAUGAAGCUUAGUGACAUCCAUUUCUCCCAGACAGGGGAAAGGGAGUGUCAGAUGCAGGUCUGUGACAGCGAGGAUGAAACUAGGGAGACAAUGGUAUCCCUGACAAAGAGAAGAAGGAGGAGGCUGGCCUCCUAGACACGGGGUUGGAUUUGUAAGAACAAGACUGGCAUGACCAGGGCUUUGAGAAUAAAGUCAAAGUGAUACCAGAAUAGUGGGGAAGGCGUUUUCUCUUCCCCUCUGUCCUCCUCAGCACAUGCAGGGAGCUAAAAAGCAAGCAGAGAGAAAAAUGUCACAUCAAUAAAAACAUUUACAAACUUGUACAUAUCCUGGCUAAGUUUACCACUAGUGAUCUAUCAAAGUUAGAUGCUAUUUAGUCCUGCUUUUGGAUGUGAGCAUGAAGGGAGGCAAAGUAGUGGUUUUCAUCUUUGCUUCCUAGGGGCUUUUGUAACAAAAGCACUAUUUUAAUAGAAGGCAAGAUACCUUAUGAAUUUGUGUUAUAAAUAGAGAUUGAACCAUUAGCAACAACCAUGCACGUGCACAAUUUAGCUUUUACUGUCCUGUGUUUCUCUGGGGAUUUUUAGGGUUAGAUGUGGAUAGGUUCUUAUAGUCAAAACACCACACACACACACACACACACACACACACACACACACACACACACACACACAAACACACGGCGUAGGAAAAAUAAGCAAACUUCAAUCUUCAAUUGCUAGGCUUCAUUUCACAAAACCCAUCAAAAACAUGGCAGACUGAUAGACUCUGUUCUGUGCUUCUUUACAAGGGCCUGUCCUUAUCAUUACCUGGGAAAACUAUCUUUUCCCAUCAUGCAUCUGCCUCUAUGGCACACUCAAAGGGUAGGUAAAAAGGAAUGAACCUUACUGUGUGGAAGUCUGACCUAUUCCUGGAAUCUCUCACCCAUUCUAUCUAUCUAUCUCAUGGAUUAUACUCUUCUCUGUCAAAGUUUGUCUAUGAAGCCCAACACCCAACACUCCCUUGUGCUUUAAGAAGGACAUUCACCCCUCACAUCUAUGCCUUUGCCCUGUAAAAAAAACUUCCUCCUGAUUAUUUGUUCUGCUUCCUUUAUGUAUUCUUUCUCUGAUAGAGACGGAAAACCUGCAUAAAAUUUCACUUCUAUCUGUGUUAGACUUACUCAGCCUUCACCCAUUAGAUAAGCAGUUACAUAGAGAGACAGGCAGACAGAUAGAUGGAUGGACGGACGGACGGACAGACAGACAGACAGAUGCACAGACAGAUGAUAGAUAGAUAAUAGAUAGAUAGAUAGAGAGAGAGAUAGAUAGAUAGAUAGAUAGAUAAAAUUUCUUCUUUUCUUACUAUCAGUUUCUAUAAAAGACAGAUUGUCCAAAUUCUCAUUGUUUAUUAAUAUAAUGCCAUUAAAGGAAAUUUUUUAAAAAAUAUUUUCAUUACAAAAGGUUACCUAAGAUUUUUAAGCACUUAAAAUUUUUCUUCCUGAACAUGUAGAAUCUGGCAGUCAUUGAACUGAAGAUAUUAAAAUAUGCCACUGCCUCUGAAGUCUGUACUCUGAUUUCAGAGAUGCAGGUGUAUAGUUGUACUACUGGUCUAAAUUAGAAUUCAAAAGAGGACUCUGUCCUGCCCAAGACUGAGUAAGGAAUCUUAUUUUUCUGUUUUUGCUCUGCAGGCAUGCUUUAAUUCUGAAACAAACUGUAGGGUUUUCUGGUAUCACUAGCUCAUCAUCAUCAUCAAACUGUUGCUGAUGGAAUUACGGAAGGAGAAGAUCUCUCUCCUACAUACUUAUUAGACCUCGACUCCUAUCACACCAAAAGAAGAGGCUUCACUUGGAGUCACUCUCCUGGAUUGAGCCUGGUUUGUUACCCGGAAAGAAGUGGCUUCCUGGGGCAGACAGUCACACGCUGAAAGCUGACGAAGAAUUUUAAGGGCAUCUGUGUUUCUGUGAUUUGUAUGUCAUGGAACUUAAGUCCUGACUUGACCUUGCUGCUCCAGGCUGCAUGAUCAAGAACACCACCACCCCACAUACAUUUUCCCAUUCAAUCUCUACAAUGCCUCUCAAAUGUUUAUACAUUAUUUUCCAACUGAAAAGAUUUAGAAACUAAGUAUAUAUAUUUUUUUGCAGGACAGAAAAUUCAAAUAGCUUAUACAUUAAUAAAUGGCAGGGAUCAUGAUUCAACCAUAGGGUGGUGUUUCUCUCCCUCUCUGAAUCUACCACAGGAUAUAAGAUCAUCCACAAGGGCAAAUGUAGUAGAAUUUUAUUUUAAGGUGUAUUACUUUUGUUUAUAUUGCAUUUGUUUAACUCGGUGAAACUGUGUUACUGUGCCUGUCUAAAACAUCUAACUGGUCUAAUAAAGAACUGAAGAGCCAAUAGCAAAGCAGGAGAGAGAGAUAGGUGGGGCUGGCAGGCAGAGAGAAUAAAUAGAAAGAGAAAUCUGGGAAGGGGAAUUGAAAAGGAGAAGGAGCCAGAGAAGGGAAGGACAUCAGGGGCAAGCCACCCAGCUACACAACCAGCAAGCCACAGAGUAAGAGUAUGAUUUACGGAAAAGAGAACAGGAAAAGCCCAGAGGCAAAAGGUAGACGGAUAAUUUAAGAGAAGGAAAGCUGGCUAGAAACUAAGCCAAGCUAAGGGUGGGCAUUAAUAAGCAAGAAUAAGCCUCCGUGAGUGAAUUAUUUGGGAGCUGGGUAGUGGGCCACCCAAAAGAGCAAAAAACCAACAACAGGCAAAUAUUUGAAAUGAACAUUAGUGUCUAUCCGAUGACAUUUCUGGUUCCUCAGGAAGUCGAGGCUCAAACCUACACAACAAAGUGGGGCCUGAUGCAAGUCUCUGAGGGCCAGGCCUGCAGUGCACUGUUGUGUUUUGUUUUGUCAUGAGACAGCCUUGCUAGCCUCAAACUCAUGUAGACCAGGUUAGCCUCAGACCCUGAUCCUUCUACAUCAGUCUCACCAAGAGACUGAGGCCAACUUGGUCUACAUGAGGUUGGGAUUAGGGAAAUCAAGUGUACCUGUGGGUGUUGAUCUAAGUGGGGCUACACUGUUUAAAAAUAACAGUUAUGAAACAAAACUGCUUAAGCUAAACAUGCUGUACAGUGCUCACGAAUUUGUAGCUGUUGUACAAUCUCCUUGCCUUUUGUAACUUUGUCUGGAUCUACAACUGCAUCAUCAAACUCCUUCACUGCCAAGUGUAGAGAUCAUUUAGUACAUAAGAAGGUAGCUUCAAACAUCUCACUGUGCCUAUUUCCUCCCUCCUUUUAUUAAUAAGUUUGAUCUCUUAUAA
Molecule: long non-coding RNA, 12441 nt
Organism: Peromyscus californicus insignis
Lineage: Eukaryota; Metazoa; Chordata; Mammalia; Rodentia; Cricetidae
Exons: 4
Source: RefSeq, a predicted model, not a curated record